Cebus imitator (Panamanian white-faced capuchin) is the source of this 963-nucleotide long non-coding RNA. RefSeq lists it as uncharacterized. The transcript is spliced from 3 exons. NCBI's taxonomy places the organism in Eukaryota, Metazoa, Chordata, Mammalia, Primates, Cebidae. The record is from RefSeq and is a predicted model, not a curated record.
CCUGAAUGUGCCUGAAUGUCCCGUCUCACACUCAGCUUCCAACUGCAACAAAGCUCCAACUCCUGCUGCUCGCAACCCUGCUUUGAGGUGGCCUGGGAUGACUGGCUCCGUCACUUAACCCUUUGGCUGUUUUCAAAAUGCUGAGAUGCAGUGAGCCACCCUUAGUGCUCUGCCCUGAAUGCUUCCGUCGGUCUGCUGAGUCACACUGCAGGCCAAGGGAUGUGUUCCUGCCUUUGGUGGACUGCUCCGCCUAUGCUGACCGUUAAAGUCUCCCUCCUUCAGCCAGUCCAGACCAGAGAGCACACCUGAAUCUUCCGGCCUCUUCAUGUGUGUCCCUAAGGAGAAGCUUGUGCCCUGUCUCUGAGGCAAGACAUAGCCGACGAUGAACUGACGGUGGUAGCCCCGACCUCCACUUGUAAUCCCUGCCGGCCUCUCCCCAGCUCCCCACCAGCCUCAUUCUGUACAACAUCCUCUGGCCAAGGUUACAGCUUCUUCUCCCUGGAGCCCCUCGGACAAGCACAGCUGCCUGGGCCCCUCCCCUGCAUCACUGGAAUGCCUGAGGCUGCCAGACGAGGUGGCCUCCUUCCCAACACAAGGAUGCUCCCCUGGGGUGUUCUGUCGUAUAAAUUCCUCCAAUAAUUUAUUUCCAGAAAAAAUAAAUUCCCCUAAGAAUUGGUAUAUUUUCUUUUAUUAGAUAAUAAGAGCUGCACAGCACACUGCUUUCUUUUUUUUUGCUUUUCUUACCAGGAAGCUCAGGGCUGCACCAGUGCUGAUUGUGGAUAUAUUCAUCAGCUCUCUUUUCUAUUCUUUCUCUUUCUCCUCCUAUUUGUCCAUUUCAUUCUUGGGUGUGUACCCAUGUGUACUUAUGGAGAGCUCAGUUCAAGUAACUGUGUGGGAAGGCUAGCCGGGCCUGUGUCUGUGGUCUUGACAUAGAGCCCUUGUCCUUCCUCCUGCCUCUCCUGG